CUCAGGGAACAGAUCAGCUUUUUCUGACAGACAGUAAAUGAGAUGAACUAGCAAAGACACAGGAGUAAGGAGUUUUUCCUAAAGAGAGAACAAGAAUGGGGAAGAAACGAGGGAAGCAAAGGGCAAAUAUCUGUCUCCCCCAGGGUACAAGCUUCACAAGAAGGACGUGUAAUAUCAGCAACACAGAGAGCCAGCUAAGGCUCAUCCAGUCAUGCAACAAAUACUUUCUGAGCAUCUACUAUGCAGUGAGCACCACUCUGUGCCAAGGACACAACACUGAACAAGAUGAGUGAGCUUUCUGCUGUCGAGCUCACCUUCUAGAGGGGGAAGGAGUUUUGCCACAGCCAUGGCCCUGUGCUUGCCAGACCGUUUGCAGCUCACAGCCCAUUCACAUAACAGCGUCACCACAGCUUCAUCGUUGGGCGCAACCUAAUGACCAACAGAGAGGGGUACCAGCCACAUCAA
Molecule: long non-coding RNA, 465 nt
Organism: Pongo pygmaeus (Bornean orangutan)
Lineage: Eukaryota; Metazoa; Chordata; Mammalia; Primates; Hominidae
Exons: 3
Source: RefSeq, a predicted model, not a curated record